AGUCAUUGGUGUAGUUAGAGUUUUACCGAGCAAGUUGGGAUCAAAGUUGGGAAUUAGUUGACUGAAUUGUUUCAACAAAAUUUCCCUCUCUGCUCUGACUGCCUCCAAAACACUUUGCUUUGCCCUGGCCUCCAUCUUUUUGGUUUCCUCUCUCACUGCUUCCAUAAUACUUUCCUUCAAUUUGUCAGCAAAUUUUACUCUCUGCUGUCUCGGCAAAUUGAAGAAUUGAGUUAGGGAAACCCCAGCUCCAAACCUCUGACCCUCCCACCAUGCUCAGGG
RNAcentral lists this long non-coding RNA (279 nucleotides) under Prunus persica (peach). Its description in RNAcentral is "long non-coding RNA (PPER_LNC000809)". The record is from RNAcentral. Lineage: Eukaryota; Viridiplantae; Streptophyta; Magnoliopsida; Rosales; Rosaceae.